Molecule: ribosomal RNA, 593 nt
Filed under: uncultured bacterium
Lineage: Bacteria
Description: bacterial SSU rRNA
Rfam family: Bacterial small subunit ribosomal RNA
Source: RNAcentral
GAUUCCUACGGGGGGCAGCAGUGAGGAAUAUUGCGCAAUGGGGGAAACCCUGACGCAGCGACGCCGCGUGAGUGAAGAAGGAUUUCGGUUCGUAAAGCUCUGUCAAGUGGGAAGAAAUGUCACAUGGUUAAUACCUGUGUGAUUUGACGGUACCACUAAAGGAAGCACCGGCUAACUCCGUGCCAGCAGCCGCGGUAAUACGGAGGGUGCAAGCGUUGUUCGGAAUUACUGGGCGUAAAGGGCGCGUAGGCGGCCUAUUAAGUCAGGUGUGAAAGCCCACGGCUCAACCGUGGAUUGUCAUCUGAAACUGGUAGGCUUGAGUAUCGGAGAGGAUAGUGGAAUUCCCGGUGUAGAGGUGAAAUUCGUAGAUAUCGGGAGGAACACCAGUGGCGAAGGCGACUUCCUGGACCAAUACUGACGCUGAGGUGCGAAAGCGUGGGUAGCAAACAGGAUUAGAUACCCUGGUAGUCCACGCCGUAAACGAUGUCAACUAGCCGUCGGGUCCAUUUAAGGAUUUGGUGGCGCAGCUAACGCGAUAAGUUGACCGCCUGGGGAGUACGGCCGCAAGGUUAAAACUCAAAUGAAUUGACGGA